UCCAGUUUAUCCUGCUGGCGGGUGCGGCUAUCUGACUUAUGAUUAGACAUGCAAGUCUUGAUCGAAAGAUCGGCAAACUGCUCAGUAACACGUAGCUAACCUGAUCUCACGUCAGGGAUAACCUCGGGAAACUGAGGCUAAUACCUGAUAGAAAAUACAAACUGGAAUGUAGUGUUUUUGAAACUCGAGCCUGAGAAGGGGGCUGCGGCUGAUUAGGUAGUUGUUGGGGUAAAUGCCUAACAAGCCAAUGAUCAGUAAGGGCUCUUAGCGGAGAGGCCCUGAGAAGGAAUCUGAGACACUAUUCCUAGCCCUACGGGGUGCAGCAGUCGAGGAAAUUUUACAAUGCUCGAAAGAGUGAUAAAAUGAGUCAGAGUGUCUCUCUUAGAGAAACUUUUUUCUGCUGUAAAAAGGCAGAAGAAUAAGGACUGGGUAAGAUCGGUGCCAGCCGCCGCGGUAAUACCGGCGGUCCGAGUCGCAUCCACAUUUAUUGGGUCUAAAACAUCCGUAGCUUGUUUUGUAAGUCUCUUGUGAAAUCUUAUAUCUCAAGUAUAAGGCGUGCAAGAGAUACUACAUCACUAGAGACCGGAAGACGCAAGGAGUACGGUUAAGGUAACGGUAAAAUGUGUUAAUCUUAAUUGGACUAACAAUGGCGAAGGCACCUUGCGAGUACGGAUCUGACAGUGAGGGAUGAAGGCUAGGGGCGCGAAAGGGAUUAGAUACCCCUGUAGUCCUAGCAGUAAACACUGCUCACUAAACAUUAGUACCUCCUCGAGAGGCAUUAGUGCUGUAGAGAAGUCGGAGAGUGAGCUACCUGGGAAGUAUAGUCGCAAGGCCGAAACUUAAAGGAAUUGGCGGGGAGGCACUACAACCGGUGAUCGCGUGCGGUUCAAUUAGAUUCUACACCGUGAACCUCACCAGGAGCGAUAGCAGGAUGAAGGUCAGUCUGAAGGGCUUACCUGACACGCUAAGAGGAGUUGCAUGGCCGACAUAAGCCUGUGUCGUGAGAUGACUUGUUAAAUCAAGUAACAGGCGAGACCCCUGUGUUUAAUUGCUACGUAAGAGUACAUUAAACAGACUGCCUUGGUAACAAGGAGGAGGGUGGGGGCUAUGUUAGGUGGGUACAGCCCGAAUCCCCUGGGCUACACGCGCGCGUCAAUGUCAUAUUCAGUGAGAUGCGACUCCGAGAGGAGAAGCUAAUCCCAUAAAGUAUGGCUUAGUACCGAUUGAGGCUUGCAACUUAGCCUCAUGACGAUGGAAUCGGUAGUAAUCGUUUGUAAUCAGCGAACGGUGAAUACGUCACGGCCUCUUGCACACACUGCCUGUCAAACCAACCGAGUUAUGCCCUGGCGAGGGCUUUCGAGAACAAACCUAGGUAUGACAAGGUAGGUU
Molecule: ribosomal RNA, 1389 nt
Filed under: metagenome
Description: bacterial SSU rRNA
Rfam family: Archaeal small subunit ribosomal RNA
Source: RNAcentral